AUACGGAGGGUGCAAGCGUUACUCGGAAUCACUGGGCGUAAAGCGCGCGCAGGCGGCUUGAUAAGUUGGAUGUGAAAGCCUACGGCUCAACCGUAGAACUGCAUCCAAAACUGUCAGGCUAGAGUGUGGGAGAGGAAGAUGGAAUUAGUUGUGUAGGGGUAAAAUCCGUAGAGAUAACUAGGAAUACCAAAAGCGAAGGCGAUCUUCUGGAACAGUACUGACGCUGAGGCGCGAAAGCGUGGGGAGCAAACAGGAUUAGAAACCCCAGUAGUCC
RNAcentral lists this ribosomal RNA (274 nucleotides) under uncultured bacterium. Its description in RNAcentral is "partial 16S ribosomal RNA". It matches the Rfam family "Bacterial small subunit ribosomal RNA", at positions 523 to 796 of the family's 1533-position model. The record is from RNAcentral.